UUUUUCUGUUGGAAAAGCACGUGUAAGUUGGGCCAGCCUAGUCACUAGUGGGAAAAAGGUCCAAAGUCCGUGUAAGUUGGGGACCAAAGCAUUACUGAAAAAAAGUAAAAGUAAAAAAAGAAAAAUAAAAAGAGAACAUGAUCACGACCGCGAAGCGUUGAAUUAAUUAUUAAUGGACUCAAAAAGACCGUGCCAGUCACUUAAGUAAAGGCGUCUUUGAGGGAGUAAUUACAAUCUUUUUGAACCGGUUGGGAGAGGAGGGAACUUGGGGUUCAAAUUUAAAUAGAGGUCCAAAACGUCUACGAGGGAGAUCGAAUUUUAUUUAUUUUACUUUAUUUAUUAAUAAUGCCUUCACUAUCCUAUAUUCCUAUGUGGAAUAAUUUGCGGACCUUGUUUGGUCAAAAAUGUACGACCAGGUCAAAACAAAACAUAUGUGAAAUCGCCAAACGCGGUGGAGCACGAUCGAAUUGCUAAUUGAGCACUAUGUCACGGACAAAAUAUUUUUCACUGACUUUUCUUGGACAGUGGUCCCUUUCUCCGAAGGAGCGUUCUAUCGGAGGUUUUGGCUUGGAUCUUCUAGAAGCUUCUAUGCGGAUCUCGAGACUGAUGGCGCGGGUACCGAAGGGUCAAGAGUUCCUUAGAGUUUCUAAGUGGGUAAUAAAUGUAAGACUCUUAGAGUUUCUAUGCUUAUUUAUUAGGACUCUUGGGAGACCGUGUGACCUCUCCUUAUGGCUUGUAGCUUUGUGCCACUUGGCAUCUUAUCAUUUGCUUUAUGGGCGGCAAGUGGCCUAUAUAAGGUUGUGGCCUCCACCCCCUCAUUAGGAAGAAUCCUCAUUUUGUACUCACUACUUCAAAGUAAUAGAAGAGCUUUCUUCAUCUCUCUCUUGUUAUUAGUCUUAGGGCGAGGAGGUCCUGAAUUAUCAAGUAGAGAGGAAGUCUAGGGUGAGUAGGUCCUGACUUGGCGAAGUAGAGAGGAAGGCUUGCCCAUCUUCGAGCAGAAAAGGGACGCCGCAUGGGCUAACGAGCGAUUUUGCCUUAGUCCGUGACAGUUGGUAUCAGAGCGAGUUGCUAUCUGGGCCGGUUCGAGGAGGAACCAUGUCGCCAUCAGAUGCUGUCGUUGUUGACGUUGAGCCUUCGUUGCAGGCCAAGCGGGAAAGGUGCAAGGAAUCGCAGGCACUCGCGUAGGAGUCCCUCAUCCUUGAAGUACCAUGCGGUGUGGCAGAAAGAUGUUAUGACGAGAAUGGAGGCACUACCUGAUCGGACCGAGGGCGAUCGAGGUGAACCAUCAAAGGCGAGUGAGGCCAACAGUGGAGGAGAGCACCACGAUCCAGGGGACGAAAAGGGAGUUCUGCUGCUUAGCAGGGUGCGCGUGCGUGUCGCGGAGGACAUGCACACUCCAGGCGUUCGACGGCUCGGCGGAGCGCGUGUGCGUGUCGCGGAGAACAUGCACACUCGGAGGCGUUCUGCAGCGUGGCGGAGUUCGCUUGUGUGUCGCGGAGGACAUACACACCCGGCGUGUUCUGCAGGUUGGCGGAGUGCGCGUGCGUGUCGCGGAGGACAUGCACACUCGGAGGCGUUCUGCAGGUUGGCGGAGUGCGUGUGUGUGUCGCGGAGGACAUGCACACUCGGAGGCGUUCUGCAGCAUUGGCGGAGUGCGCGUGUGUGUCGCGGAGAACAUGCACACUCGGAGGCGUUCUGCAGCGUGGCGGAGUGCGCGUGUGUGUCGCGGAGGACAUACACACCCGGCGUGUUCUGCAGCUUGGCGGAGUGCGCGUGCGUGUCGCGGAGGACAUGCACACCCAGAGCAGUUAUAAGGUUGGCUACUGGACUCGAGGAACUUUGGUUAAGUCAGGGCGAAGUAGGCGUGUAGGCCGAGUAGCUUUGAUGGCGAGGACCAAGUUUUGGUGGAGUGUCAGUGCAAUCUUGUAAUCCGAUGGAUGAUGGAUUCUGGUUCUGCAAAGGAGUUAGUGUGGUACGAGCAAGGCGCCAAGGCUGAAGAGCUCUAACUCAGGGUGGGACAGAAUAUAUGUGUGUGAGGCGUUUCGUCGCGGAGGACGAUGGGCUUUACAGAACCGUUGUUGAGUGGACGAACUCGAAGGCAGGUCAGUGUGGCAUGAGAUGUCAAGGCUGUGGGUGGCUCUGGUCUGGGAUGAGUGGUUUUGCUGACAACGAAGUUGAAGGAUGUGUUGGAUCAUCGACGAGGGCGUCGAUGGUUCAAGUAGGGGAGGAUGUCACGGGUCGAUCGUUGGGGCUCGACCGUGACGCUCUUGGGGGCCACAUUUGGUAGUCAUUGAGUUGACGAAGCUAUGGAGUUGCGGAGUUGAAGCGUUCCGUCAGGUUGGAGCGCUGUCAAGUCUACGGAGGCAAUUCUCUAGCAAUAGCCCAUGCCUUGGCAAGGAUUUUGGUACCGCAUGCGGGGUUUCAAAACGUACCCCUCGGUGGGCACCUUUGUACCCUCGGGGUGCCAAAGGGCUGGAUGUCUUGCAUGGUAUAUAGGAGGAGGGGUGGACACUGCGUAGAGUGGCCCCGACUCCCCCGCGACUCAUAGGACAUGGGUCGUCCCUUGGACUGUCACGGACUAAGGCAAAAUCACUCGUUAGCCCGUGCAGCGCCCCCUUCCUGCUCGAAGAUGGGCAAGCCUUCCUCUCUACUUUGCUAAGUCAUGACCUACUCGCCCUAGACUUCAUUUCUACUUGAUAAGUCAGGACCUCCUCGCCCUAAGACUAAUAACAAGAGAGAGAUGAAGAAAAGCUCUUUUAUUACUUUGAAGUAGUGAGUACAAAAUGAGGAUUCUUCCUAAUGAGGGGGUGGAGGUCACAACCUUAUAUAGGCCACUCGCCGCCCAUAAAACAAAUGAUAAGAUGCCAAGUGGCACAAAGCUACAAGCCAAAAGGGGAGGUUACACGGUCUCCCAGGGGUCCUAAUAAAUAAGCAUAGAAACUCUAAGAGUCUUACAUUUAUUACCCACCUAGAAACUCUAAGGGACUUUUGACCCUUCGGUACCCGCACCAUCAGUAUUGAGAUCCGUGUAGAAGCUUCUAGAAGAUCCAAGCCAAAACCUCCGACAAAACGCUCCUUCGGAGAAAGGGACCACUGUCCAAGAGAAGUCAGCGGAAAAUAUUUUGUCCGUGACAACUAGCUACCAUCCCUAUUCCGUGCUCUUUUUAAUAUAUAAUAGGGAAAACUUUAAAAACUCUCCAUGUGAUUUCGUAUUUUUUGACUUUAGUAUCCUGUGGUUUAAAGUGUAUCAAGUUAGCUAGUAUCCUGUGAUUUUGCACUUUCUCAUUUUAGUAUUCUGUGAUUUAAAGUGUAUCAAGUUAAUACUCUGUGGUUUCAUUUUUAUAUCAAAUUAGUACCAUGUGGUUUUAUUUUUCUCUUUUUAUUAUCCAUUUCGGGGUAUUUUUUUCGUUAAAUCAGUGACGAAGUUAAAACUAAAGGGUACUAAAAUGAAAAUUCGAUAAACCUAGGUAGGAUAUCUGAAAUAUUUGGUAUAUAAUUUAACGAAAUAUUAAGCCACAGGGUACUAAAGUGAGAAAGUGCGAAACCACAGGGUACUAACAUGAUACACUUUAAGCCAUAGGGUAUUAAAGUGAGAAAGUGCGAAACCACAUGGUACUAACAUGAUACACUUUAAAUUACAGAAUACUAAAGUGAGAAAUGCGAAAUUACAGGGGCAUUUGAAUUUUUU
This 3688-nucleotide long non-coding RNA is filed under the name Ananas comosus (pineapple). RNAcentral describes it as "long non-coding RNA (ACOM_LNC023854)". The record is from RNAcentral. Lineage: Eukaryota; Viridiplantae; Streptophyta; Magnoliopsida; Poales; Bromeliaceae.